Molecule: long non-coding RNA, 6642 nt
Organism: Acinonyx jubatus (cheetah)
Lineage: Eukaryota; Metazoa; Chordata; Mammalia; Carnivora; Felidae
Exons: 4
Source: RefSeq, a predicted model, not a curated record
UUGCCGCAGGCCCCAGGACACCAACACCCUGCCCUGCUCCCUUCCGAGGCAGCUGCAGUCAAAGGGCCAUUGUUCCCAGACGGGCGGGAACAAGGCCUCUUGUUGGUCGGCUGAAUAAGGUCCCUGGCUCCGUCCAACCUCAGCCACAAUCAAUCUCUCUUACGGUGCAGGGUGGGCAGGGACAGGUUUCCAAAGUCAUCUUCAUGCUCAGGUGAGAACGGAAAGGUCAGCCAAUGAGCCACCGUACACAGAUCCUGUUGAAAACUGACUAGUGCCCUAUCAACUGGGCUGUGCUUCUCAAACUUCUAGAACUUCUUUAUUUUUCUUCAAUUUUCUUUUGGUGUUUAUUUAUUUUUGAGAGAGAAAUAGAGUGUGAGCAGGGGAGGGACAGAGAGAGGGAGACACAGAAUCUGAAGCAGGCUCCAGACUCCGAGCUGUCAGCACAGAGCCGGCUGUGGGGCUCGAACUCACAGAUGGUGAGAUCAUGACCUGGGCCGAAGUUGGACACUUAAACUGAAUGAGCCACCCAGAUGCCCCUAGAACUUCUUCAAACCGCAAACAGCCUGGUUAAAAUGCAGAUUUCCAGGCCUGACAGUCUGGUUCAUAAGUUGUGGGAGCAGGGAGCGGCCAGGCGGUCCUGAAACAGGUGACCCAGGAGGACGGCGAGCAGGAGGGCAGAAGUGGGUGGGCCUGGGGCACUCUCUGGAGGCGCAGUCGACAGCAGCUUGGUCCCGGAAGGAAUACGGGGUGAGCCCAAAAAGGGAAAGACCCAGACGGCACCCUGGCCGACCUGCUGGGGGCACAGUCGCGCGGUGGCUCCACGAGGCAGUGGACCGACCCGAGGCAGAGACCGCAGAGAAGGGGUGAUGUGAGAAUCCAGGGGUGCAGGGACAUGAUCGUGUAAAUCGGAUUUCCUCAAUCACAGCAUUUACUGCAGUGUUUUACCUCUCCUAACAAUUUAUUUCAAGCAACGAGAAAACCCCUGCCAUUAGAAAUAUUUCCUAAAGAUUCUGCCCUUUCCCACCUGGUGACGUGUGGCACACAGACAGGAUUUCGUCAGUCUCUGGAGAUUUAAUACACACGCACCUCCGCGUCACCAGUGAGAGCUCUGCCUGCCCAGUGGCCUUGAACCUUGCCGGGCCCUUGACCACGUGACCACAAGCACCUAGCUCGGCUCUGCUCUGUCAUCCGUCACACCGGAAGUGUGCAGAGCUGUUGUGAGCUGCCCUCCCCUGCCCUCCCUGGGGACAAGACCAGGAGAGGGGUCAAGACCUUGCAACUGAAUAAGGGCUGAGCCGCCCACUCUGGGCCGUUUUGGGAGAAAAAGGCUCGUCUCAAAUUCACUCAAGAGACCAGGUACAGCCUCUGAAAGCCAUAACUGGAACCAAACUGUAGGACUUACCCACCUAGAGAAAGGACUUUUAUUCUUAGAGCUGACGUCUUCUUUUCCGAUGAAAUACAAAUCUCCUAGGAAGGAGACACUAAAACUGGCAGUUCUUCACCUUAAUGACGGUUUCUAGAAAGUUUUUCCCCGCCCACAGGGUUUAACAGCGAAAACUCAAGGUGCCAGCAUCCAAUGGUGGAAGAGGCUUCGGGUCACACACCUUUACCUGCAAAUCCUCCCGCGGCCACCACCUCCACCAUCAGACUCUCAAGGCACAGCUGGGACGUUUCAGCAGCCAAGUCAGAGCCUUCCAGAAAGAGAACGGCAGUCAGCCACACCCGCCGACUUCCGCUCUUCCCUCUUCAAAGACUCGCAGGGCACACGGGAGAGGUGUGUAAACAGCCUCUUCCAGGCUCUGUGUGUCUACAAAUGGCCGGAAGCAUGUUCAUUAUUCUCCUUAAGAUGCCUUUUAAAAAUUCACAAAGACCUGACGCACGCGUGUGUUUACAAGCGACCUUUCUGAAGGGCUGCUGCUGGUGUAUUCUUAGACAUCUGUUUCCUAACGGGUUAUGGGACACCCGAGAGACUGAGAUAAAAAAGGAAAACUGAACUUUCUGACAUCGCCACUCUGGGCUGGGAGCAGAAAACAUGCCUACGUGCCCACAAAACAUAAAAGGUCAAGAGAGCGAGAAUUUAUGAGUGACGUGAGUCAGAGUGCCAAAAAGGAAAGUUUACAAGAAAAAAGAUAUGUACAGAAUAUAUAAAACAUACGAGACCGUAUACAGUUGGCCGCUGAACGUGGCUUUGAACCACGCAUGUCCACUUAUACGUGGAUGAUUCUCAGUAAGUACAGGACGGUACCAAAAAUGCAUUUUCUCUCCCUUAUGAUUUCUUUUCUCUAGCUCACUGUAUUGUAUGAAUACAAAAUACAUGGCAUAUACAAAAUAUGUGUCAAUCAACUGUUUAUGUUACUCGUAAGUCUUCUGGUCAACACUCAGCUGGCAGGAGUUAAGUUCAGGGGAGUCAAAAGUCAUAUGCAGAUUUUCAACCAUGUAAGGAGUCGGGGCCCCUUAUGGUGUUCAAGGGUCAACGUGUUUUAUAUUUACAUAAAAUAGGGAUUAUAAUGUACUAUAUGUAAUGUGUUACAUAUGUGACGUAUUAACGUGUAAUUAUGUAUAACAUAUAUAAAAUUAUAUUACAUACAUGUUACACAUAUUGCACAAAAUAUAAAAAGCCAUACAUUAUCUAUAACUUACAAGUUCAAUAGAUCACAAUGAUAUGUAUUAUUCAGGAAGUCCCAAUUUUUGCUUGUUAGUUGGGUUUUUUUUUUUUUCCCCAGCAACCAUUCACACAGGCGCUUUGGUAAUUAUAACGUACUGCCAGGUGCAGACACACGGCGGGGGUGGGGGUGAGGGGGGAGAGGGGUUCUCUACUCAACCGGCUUUCACUGUGUUUAGCACGCAAGCCUGCCUGCUUUCCAGAGCAGAGCCAUGCCCUCACUCUGGAGACCCCGCCCCGCCCCCCUCACACCCCCGACGUCUAUGGGCUGACUCCCAAGCCAGUUCUGACAAGAGACAUCAGGCACCCACCUCUGAUGGAGCACAGCCCAGGCAGGACGGGGAGUAGAACCAACAGCCCAACUGUUCUGGACACCCCAGCAAGACGCUGCACAGAGCCGUGAACAUUUCUAGACAAACUCAGAUGUUCCCAUCGCAGUGUGCUCAUCGAGAAAACAAAGGAGUCGGCAGCAGGGCCAGAAAACCGCUUAGCAAGAGUGAGAGUGAAUGAGGAGGGGCAGAAAGAGAGAAAGAGAGAGAGAGCGAGAGAGAGAGGGUCCCAAGCCGGCUCCACGCUGUCAACACAGAGCCCAAAGUGGGGCUCGAUCCCACGAACCACAAGAUCAUGACCUGAGUGGAAACCAAGAGUCGGAGGCUUAAGAGACCGAGCCACCCAGACCAGACGCCCCCACGAGGGAGGCAGCCGAAGGCCAGGCCGACAGCGUCACAAACCCGGGGAGCCGGGCCCCACGCAGGACGUGUCUGCGCACAGGUGUCUCACCGCCGUAUCCACCGCGACCCCGUCUCGCUUCGGGGAAGGAGAGCCGGCCCGCGAGCCCUCUUCACUGCACUUGCGCAUGCUUCCGUCUGCCAGACAGAUUUUCGGCGGCGACUAACCUGACUUUUUGCUCACGUUCAGUUGCUUCCUUCAUGGAAAAGCUAAAUCAAAAGCAUUUGCUGAAAAGCUCAGACAGACAACGUAUCAGGUCUGACUAAUACGAAGGUCCGGACAAGUGAAGGUGAAAUACAUCCUCCAUGCGACAAUAAACUACAACGCCACCUUGCAGUGUCAGAGCACCAAGUCUUCCGAAACGGUGGAGUGAGCGCGGAAAACAGGCAGCGUAAACGGGGUCCAUCCAGGCUGGCGCUGGACCACCUUCCAGACACACCCUGAACCCCAGGGAUCGGGACACCUUCAUCCUUCCCGAAAAGAAAUACAAAACGCUUGCCGUUUACUGCCAUUCGCAUGUGCAUUCUGUUGAAACUACCUACGUCUCCAACUCAAGCCUGCAGGUGAUCCCUGUUCGGCAACAGGCCUGCCCGAGGCUCCCGGGUGGCAGGAGCGUGCACGUGGUCACACGGAGGAGGGCGUUCCGGUUGAGCGAGUGAAUUCACUCUCACAGAAGGCGGAUGUGUAAACGAGGCACACGACACCCGUUCACGGUUUCUAGGGAACCACAUGCACGAAUCACAACAUCGGAGGCCGGCUGGAUAAAUGACAACACAGGACUCUACGUAGCAGACUCGGUGUUUGUGUCCAAAAUAGUUUCGGGAGGAGGAAGAGUGGGUUUAAAAGUUCAGGUCACACCACCGGUUUGGGGACUUCGUUUUCCUUAUCACAUUUCUCUCCCUCGGUGUAAGCGAACGAAAUUUCAAGUUCAAAAUGCCAGGCCCCAGGGAAAAAGCAAGAGCGUCCUCCCAGGAUCGUUCUCGGCACACAAGCGUGCUCAGCGAGCGCCUCCUCUCUGCCAUGAAGCAUCUCAGGGGCCCCACGACUUUUAAAAAUACAACUGCCACCGAAGGGCGUCCAAGCAGGCAGCUCAACAGGAAGUAAUUCUGAGAUGACUGGACUGAAUUAAACACUCAUGGUCCAUCCACCUGCACCGUGUGAUAGCCCACGGUGGGCGGAGCGCCAAUUCAACUCUGACUCUUCCCCGAGACAAGGACACCACCCGCGGUAGUAAUUACAGGGCAGCACAGGUGUUUUAAGACAACCUUUCUUUGUUUUAUUAAGUUCACUGCUUGUAAGCAAACAAAUUGCUUAGUCACCGAUUCCUCCGGUUUCCCGCCCCCCAUUAUGAAGAAACUAGUACACGCAGAAAUCUCUGGCAAGCUACGACGGUCCCCGCGGGUCCUGCCUUGCCCCGCUAUUCCUGCAGGCACCCGCUUCUAGCACUUUCCCAAAUGCCGUUCCUCUGUCUGAUCUGUGUGUGGCCUCCACGCUAAUUAUCCCAAAGCACCACUUUUAUUGGCUUUUUUUACACUGCCCUCCUGCCAAAGCUGGCCCGGUUUUCAACACCAGCACAUCUGGCCCCAACCCAAUUUCCUAAUACCCUUCCUUUCCAACCCUGCACUCUGGCCACACUCUGCUACUGCCCCCCCCAGCCCCAGGCACGCCGCCACUGUCCCACCCUGAAAGGAGCACCUAAGAGACCCUAAGACUGUGCGCCUGGCACAGACCUUUGACCUCUGCCCAACCCCUACACAGACACCCAGCUGUCAGGUCCUGCCCCUCCCCCGUCUCUAUCCAAGUAAUGAGAGUUCGGAAGACAGAGACGUAGACAGCCCUGUAAGCCAGAAAUUUCAAAAUAAACUCUGGCCGUGGCUCCUUCGGCCACUGGCUGAUUCCGGGGCUGGACCAGGAAACACGCAAGAGGAGUCCGAAGCAUCUCGUGCGGCCAGAAAGAGCCCUGAAGUGCACGUGUGUGCACACCCACACGCCAAUGGGAGCCACCCGACAGAGCUGCCGAUGCCAGAGCUGGGACAACGUGAGAAACAGAAUACAUACUACGGUCCUGGAUUAUAACCCGAAGCGUAACUCAAACGGCCACGGAUCCGUGCUGAGGUAACUGACGGACUGAAUGAAUGAAGAGGGAGGGUAUACAGACCUGUGCAGAAGAAUUCAAAAUAAUUCACGUAGACCCUCUGCCCUCAGGGAGGGGCAACAAAACUCCCUACCCCUCGCGGUGACUUCCUUCCACAGUGCAGCACGCGGCAAGGGAAAAAGAAGUAAUUUUACGGUGGAGAAACCUAACAGCCACGGUCUCAGCCAGGCGGGCAAUGUCGGUAUCGACCCCGAGGGUCACAUACUGGACACGACGAACAGGGCGUUUCAUUUCUGCGGUCCCCGUCAUCCUCACAGGAACCCAAAACCCCAAUCCAACAGGGGGGAGUCAUCAGACGAAUCCCGGUUGAGAGACAGUCUACAAAACACCUGACCAGCUCUCCUCGAAAGUAUCAAGGUCAUCAAACACAAAUGAUGUCCGAGAAGCGACCACGCGCCAACGGCCUUGGAGCCCGAGGAGACCUAUGGGACGACCAAAUGCAGCGUGGCCUCCUGAACGCGCUGCUGGGACAAAAGAGGGACGUGAGGCGAGCGCUGCGGAAAUGUGAAUGAAAUACGGCUGUAGUAACUGAUCAUGUGUCGAUACUGGGUCACUGGUUACGUGUGGAAGCUGGACGCGGGGAAAGCGAGAGCUCCCUGGGCGAUCUUCCCAAACUCCGUCUGAAUCUAAAACUAUUCUAAAAUUAAGUUUAUUUUAAAAGAUUACCCCGGGCUCCCUCAGCUCCCUACCCCCCCACCCCACCCCAGGCUGCAGUCCGGAACAUCUUCUGUUCCCUCCACUCUUGUAUCCUGGGCCUCUGCCCUCCCUAGUCGUUGUAGUCCCCGCUCCAUCCGCCACACAGGUGCCAGGGGAAGCUUUCGAACACACGCAUCUGAAGAGAACACCUUCCCGAUCAAAGCCCUUCAAGCAGCCAUCUUCAUUCCGGAAUUUCCAGGCCUUCAUCGCACACUACGAAUCUCCUUAAGAGGGACAUUUAACACAAUAACUCUCAAAUCUGUUUGGCUGUGGAAUUUUUCCACACUUUCAGCGUCUGGGUCCUGCGGAACAAUUAGGAAAUUGUUGAAAUCAAGCACAUUCCUACAAGGUGGACUGAAAGUUCUAAUUCCUUCUCUCGGUCACUGUGGUGGGUUGAACA